RNAcentral lists this transfer RNA (61 nucleotides) under Oxyrrhis marina. The record is from RNAcentral. Lineage: Eukaryota; Dinophyceae; Oxyrrhinales; Oxyrrhinaceae.
AGUGGUUUUGUGGCAAAGACACCAGGCUAAUAACCUGAAGGGUCACUGGUUCCAGCCCAGC